RNAcentral lists this unclassified non-coding RNA (3886 nucleotides) under Leishmania donovani. RNAcentral describes it as "gene:LdHU3.18.0970(CDS-product:hypothetical_prote in_conserved)". Lineage: Eukaryota; Euglenozoa; Kinetoplastea; Trypanosomatida; Trypanosomatidae. The record is from RNAcentral.
CAGCUUCGGCCAAAGGGGUGAAGUCAGGCGUGGCGGCGGCGAUUGAUGGACUGCGCCGCACGCACACCGUUUUGCAGACGUAUACACAUUCCUGCGAGCACACAGAACUGCAGGCGCGCUUGAGAGGAUCAUAGACACACGCUAAUAGGCAUAGAAUCAGGACCACAGCAGGCUGAGCCUCACCGCACAUCGUCCACCGCGGCCACCACGGCACACGACUAUGUGAGCGACGGCGAUAAGCGUAAUCUUCGCCAGGAAAGUAGCUCGGCUCUGUCUCUCCUCGUCGGCUUCGUAGAGCGCGCUCCCCGCCCGCACACGCAGUGCUGCUUCGUUAUGCCGCCGAAGCGUAAGGGUGCACGAGCUGUGCCUGCUCCGAAAACAUCGAAGUCGCGCACGGCCUCCGCGGCAGUAGCUAGUGCAGAUGGCCAAUUCGACCCCGCGACCGCAACGAGGGCCAAGAUCCCGACGGCGCUACCCGCGGAACCAACUGGGCGCAAGCGUGGGCGGCCGCAAAGCGCGGGCGCGUUGCCAGCCAAGGCAGCGGGAGCCUCGGCGCCACUUCAGCCGUGCGUGCCACAAGUGUCUGCGGGUGCGCAAAAGCCGAAACGAAGGGCUGGCGCCGGCAAUGCAGCUGCCUCGUCCACAGCGACUGGGCAAGCAGCCGCACAGACACCUCAGCCUCCACCAGAAAAGGUGGCACGGACAGAGCUGCCCCAGCCCGUCGUUUCAAGGCCUACAUUAAUGGCUGCUGUCGCGGCAUCGGCCAUCAAAGAAGUGGGGACCGCCAGGCACCACAAUGCAAGCACAGCGGACGAGGACCAACCCGAGAGCGUCUCCCUGCUUCGUCGCUAUCUCCCUUUCCCGGUCCCGGCGUCCACUAACAGCAGUGGCGCCUCGGAUGCACAGGAGUGGAACAUAAGUGACGCCGUGGUCUUCUCGACGUAUCUCGCCGAGGUGCAGUCCCACCUAACUCGCCACUGCUGCCGGCAACUCGCGCGGCUCACCACAUCAACCGCGCCAGCCUUCUUGCACGCUGCAGCCCUGGGCGAAGCAGCGCUGGCAGCCUCCCCAACACCACACAUGUUGGCUCACGCAAGCAGCGGCCCUGACGAUCAAGGGUCGCUGUCGCCGGUAGAGCAACUGGUUGACAGGCAGGAGCAGGCAUAUCGCACACUUCGGGCCACCAUCGCUGCCUCCUGCGCUCUAGGUCACCGCUCCUGCCAGGUACUAUGGGGGCCGCGCGGCAGCGGCAAGCACCGCAUUCUGCGUCUUCUCGCUCACGACGUUCGUCGCACCCCCAACACCUUCGUAAUAGAGCUGCAGGGGCGGCUGCUGAAGGACGACGAGGCCGCUCUCGGCGUCAUUGCCCAGCAGCUGCUCUCCUUCUUACAAAGCCCGCAGUCCGCGCAGCUGCGCGCCGUGCAUUACCUCUUGCGCACCGGCACCUUCGGGUUUGGCCAGCUAUUUCACUUCGAGCGGCACAUGCAGGACGGCGACAUGGUGGCGGCCGCGGCGACAGCGCCAGGACUCAGCGCACGCGCUAUGGACGGUGCGGAUACGUUACUCCUGCACACGUCUCAACACAUGACUGGAGACGGCGGCCGAAGCGGCGCGACUCGGCGGCAGCGCCCGUCAACGGUAACUGCCCCGCCCACGAAAGCUCCGCACCGAGGGGCGAGGCGUGCGCGCUGGCGCUUGAGUCGCCCCGCGCCUGGUGAUCGGGCCGACAGCAACGCGGACGGGUCGGCUGAGGAUGCGGAGGGCGAUGCUACCGAGGACGAAGAAGCCGUGCAAGGGAGCGGCGUCAUGGUGACGUCCACCACGACAUACCUCACCGGCGGGGCGGCGAGUGCCCUGCCUCAUCUCCAGCAAGCGCUUCUCCUCCUGAAGAGCCUAGGUUGCAGCAUUGUCGUGUGCGUCCGCGACAUCGACGUUUUCGGCAUCCGCUGCGAUCAACUCCUCUACGUCCUCUCCGGUCUCAUGCACGAUAGUGACGGAGGCGGCGGCGGUGCAGGUGGUGGCGGAGGGCUGUCUCUCGUGCUGGCGUCCGCCGCGCCUGACAUCCGCCAGCUGGAGAAGCGGCUCUCCAGUCGUCUAACUUGCGAGACGCGGUACGUGCCGCUGUUGCCCUGGUCCUUGCGCAACCUGCUUGCCGCUACGCUGCACACAAUGGCGCAGGACGCGUCGCACCAGGUUUGCAUGAAGGAGGUUGGUCGACAAAGGGCGGACCUAGUCGCAACUCUGCGUUGUGGUGCGACGAAACUGCGACAGAGCACGGAGGGCGGCGGCAAGAUCCAAAAGCGUGAGCAGGAGGCGCUGAAAAAGUCGAUGGCUGACCUGGAGGCGCGACUGCACGCGAGCGAGGCCACGCUGCGAGAAUUGCGUGCACAGCGGCGACACCUUCUCAGCCUGCUCGACACAGAGACUGCCCCCACGACCAUGGCACUCGGCGCCAACAGUGCCGGCUCUCCGGCACUGGGUUACUACAGAGCUUCCGGCUGGCGCUCUUCAGCGCUGCCGUUGCCGCUGCAGCUACAGCAGCGGGCGCCCACCUCUGCAAGUUCAACGUCUUCGUCCUUUACGACUGCUCGCACCUGGUCUGUCGGCUCGCUGCUCGCCCACUCCUCUCUGACGCUCGAGGUGCAGUGCGUCAUGUGCGAGGAGCUUCUCCGACAACUCUGUUGCGCCACACGCGCACGCCAAGCACGGAGUUCUGCCGGUGUUGAUGCCGCCUGUGGCAGCGGCUGCCCUGCACUCGCGCAACUGGUGACGGAGCUGAGCACGGAGCUCGAGCUGAACAGCAGCACCAGCUCAACCGUGCUGACGGUGCUGGCGAAUCACCUGUGCAAGGCUGCUAGCGGUGCCGUCGAUCUUCUUGGUGGAAGUGGUCGGCGCGUGCUGCUGAGUUGGUUGCGCGCACGGCUGCGGCAAGAGCCCAUCCCUCCGGCGGCCGCCAGCGUCACCUCUGCUGCGCAGGCAAGCACCACAUGCCCAGCGGGGGUGCCACAGAUGAUUUUGCUGCGCUGGCGGGAGGCGGCGCAGUCCAUGGUGACGAACAUCCCCGACCGUCGUGCAGGGCUCGCCGAAGAAGCAGCAAUGAAUGAGCGCUUCGUUGGCGUUGACCUCCGACCAUCGCUUGCCUUGGGCGACCGUGAGCCGGCGGCGACGGAUGGUGCGAACAUCAGCCGCUCAGAGUACCACCGCCCACCUCCAGGGCUGCCGCCGCUGUCUUUGCUGCCCCCGAACCUACAUGACCUGCUCGCCGACGGUCAGCUUGUUGGCAUGGGCUACGGCAGUCGCGAGGUGCUGCUGGUCCUCUUCUACAUGCACAUCCACCACACCAGCGGCGUGCAGGAGCGCACCGUAGCCGAUCUUCUCGAAGACGUCUCCUCCUCGCUUGGGACGAAGGCGGCGGCCGCGCUAGAUCGAGAGGCGUUUCGCCAUGCCAUUCGCCUGCUGUGCCGCUGGCGGCUCCUGCGUGUGGUGGAGGCGCACUCACAGCUGCUCGAAAUCUGCGGCAGCGACGCGCGACUGCGCGAAUUUCUCUUGACCGUGCUGUCAAAGCAACCCGCGUGGUGUGAAGCUGAGUUGGGCCUUGACGCGCGCGAGAUCAUGCGCUUCCGCAGCCUCCUGUGACACGCAGCAUCAGCAGCACAGGAACGAGAAACGAAAGGAGGCAGCUGCUGUGGUGUCCGUGUGCGUGACUGUAUGCGUGAUUCUUAUUGGCUGGGAGUACAGGAAGAGCAAGGCAGGGCAUCUCGCGCGUGCACAGCGGACGAAGUCGCCGCUUACCUGUACGUGCACGGAAUCGCGCGCAUACAUCAUCCAGACGAACCGUGCGGCCUGGUAUCUCACUUGUGCACCGCAUGCAGCGCACCUCGACAUU